CCUUCCUCUUUUCAUCAGUCUUAACGCCCCAUAAUCUGAUGAGAUUAGAUCUAAGAGAGAGAAAAGAGAGAGAAAGAGAAGAAAAAAGAUUCUUCUUCUCUUCUUGGUAGUCCGAUUCAGAUCCCGUCAGAUUUGCAUGAAAGGAUUCAUGCAGUGUUCAUCUUCUUCGAGUUCUAGAAGAGGAUUCAGAUCCAAAGUUGAGG
RNAcentral lists this long non-coding RNA (203 nucleotides) under Elaeis guineensis (African oil palm). RNAcentral's name for it is "long non-coding RNA (EGUI_LNC045996)". Lineage: Eukaryota; Viridiplantae; Streptophyta; Magnoliopsida; Arecales; Arecaceae. The record is from RNAcentral.